This 506-nucleotide ribosomal RNA is filed under the name Fusarium acuminatum. RNAcentral describes it as "eukaryotic LSU rRNA". The stretch from base 178 to 331 matches the Rfam family "5.8S ribosomal RNA". The record is from RNAcentral. Lineage: Eukaryota; Fungi; Ascomycota; Sordariomycetes; Hypocreales; Nectriaceae.
UAGGGGGACCUGCGGAGGGAUCAUUACCGAGUUUACAACUCCCAAACCCCUGUGAACAUACCUUAAUGUUGCCUCGGCGGAUCAGCCCGCGCCCCGUAAAACGGGACGGCCCGCCAGAGGACCCAAACUCUAAUGUUUCUUAUUGUAACUUCUGAGUAAAACAAACAAAUAAAUCAAAACUUUCAACAACGGAUCUCUUGGUUCUGGCAUCGAUGAAGAACGCAGCAAAAUGCGAUAAGUAAUGUGAAUUGCAGAAUUCAGUGAAUCAUCGAAUCUUUGAACGCACAUUGCGCCCGCUGGUAUUCCGGCGGGCAUGCCUGUUCGAGCGUCAUUUCAACCCUCAAGCCCCCGGGUUUGGUGUUGGGGAUCGGCUCUGCCCUUCUGGGCGGUGCCGCCCCCGAAAUACAUUGGCGGUCUCGCUGCAGCCUCCAUUGCGUAGUAGCUAACACCUCGCAACUGGAACGCGGCGCGGCCAUGCCGUAAAACCCCAACUUCUGAAUGUGACC